RNAcentral lists this ribosomal RNA (486 nucleotides) under uncultured bacterium. Its description in RNAcentral is "bacterial SSU rRNA". It matches the Rfam family "Bacterial small subunit ribosomal RNA", at positions 28 to 507 of the family's 1533-position model. The record is from RNAcentral.
GAUGAACGCUAGCGGCAGGCUUAACACAUGCAAGUCGAGGGGUAGAGGAAGCUUGCUUCCUUGAGACCGGCGCACGGGUGCGUAACGCGUAUGCAACCUACCCUUUACAGAGGGAUAGCCCAGAGAAAUUUGGAUUAAUACCUCAUGGUAUAUAUCAUUCGCAUGUUUGAUAUAUUAAAGUUCCAACGGUAAAAGAUGGGCAUGCGUCCUAUUAGCUAGAUGGUAAGGUAACGGCUUACCAUGGCAACGAUAGGUAGGGGUCCUGAGAGGGAGAUCCCCCACACUGGUACUGAGACACGGACCAGACUCCUACGGGAGGCAGCAGUGAGGAAUAUUGGACAAUGGACGCAAGUCUGAACCAGCCAUGCCGCGUGAAAGGAUGAAAGGCCUUCUGGGUUGUAAAACUUCUUUUAUCUGGGAAGGAAAACCUCCGAUUUCUAUUGGAGUUGACGGUACCAGAGGAAUAAGCACCGGCUAAACUCCGUG